CAAAUAAAAACGUGAUCAAUACCCCUCCCAGGUCAACUGAUUCUUUAAAAUUUGAAGAGAGGCAAUACCAAAACACUGUUACUGUACCAAUAACAAUAAUAGGAUGCUGAUGAAACCAACACCAGCAGAUAAUAUAGUUUUAUUGGUUUGUAUGACAUUG
Thalassophryne amazonica is the source of this 160-nucleotide long non-coding RNA. RefSeq lists it as uncharacterized. The transcript has 4 exons. The record is from RefSeq and is a predicted model, not a curated record. Lineage: Eukaryota; Metazoa; Chordata; Actinopteri; Batrachoidiformes; Batrachoididae.